Long non-coding RNA from Helianthus annuus (common sunflower), 561 nucleotides. RefSeq lists it as uncharacterized. The record is from RefSeq and is a predicted model, not a curated record. The transcript is spliced from 2 exons. Lineage: Eukaryota; Viridiplantae; Streptophyta; Magnoliopsida; Asterales; Asteraceae.
CCAUGCUCGCUUAUUUGGCAAUAGUGGAAAAUGAGUCUAUUGGGAGAGAACGCUACAAUUUCAUGCAGGUUCUGCUACAGGAAAACGGGCAAGUUUUGGAAAUGUGAGAUCUGAAAGGCAUUCUAGAUGGGUCCCACACUUGCCGAAACAAAAAAUACGGGUGAAUUGAGGACAGCGAAUAACGGAACAAGCAGCACUAAGCCUUUGGUUAGCAAUGGCAAGCGCAAGCCGAUAAGAAGAAAUUCUCAAAUUUGCCCACAUUUCAUCAAAUCUUUCGACACGUGAGAUAUGGUUUUGUUUUUUAAUUUUGCUUGUAGUACAAGGGGGAAAUGAGACUGGAUGCGGUUAAUGAUGUUGACGAGGACGAGAUGCUGGAUGUUGACGUAGAUUGACUCUUGUUAGCUCAGAAAUAUAGAAUGCAUAGUCACCCUUGUUUUUUGCAGUGUGUAACAGCUUUAUUUUGAUAUGCUUUCAUGUUUCUAAUACCCGGUAACAAGUAAAGGUUAUGCACUUUAAGGCUUUGGCAGGGACUUCUGUAGCAAUAGAGUAUACGUGUGAUUA